AGGCCCCGCGCCGAGUGAUUCUCCCCCAAAAAACUCUACAUGUGAUGUUCCGAAAACAGAAACAUGUGAUUUAGUAAAUUAGAACCCAUUGUGGGGUGCAACCAGGGAACAACUAUCAACUAGUUUGAAAAGUUCUUCCAUUUAGUAAUGGAAGUCAUCCGUUGUCACUUUCUAAGGGUAUGGUAGAGAGGCUUGAGAAGGUGGACAAUCCUUCAGUGAAGACCUAACGAGAGGCUGAAUUCAAACACACCCAAAAUCCACAAGAAUCGUACGAACAUCUAUGGAGCGUAGCAAGGAACCUUGGCUUCAGCUCUCGUCACCUCACUCAAUCCUACAGCGGAAACUCGAGUCGAGGCGCUGCAAGCGAGCAAAGAAGCACUUCUUGUAACCAAAACAAAAAC
Molecule: long non-coding RNA, 401 nt
Filed under: Nicotiana benthamiana
Lineage: Eukaryota; Viridiplantae; Streptophyta; Magnoliopsida; Solanales; Solanaceae
Description: long non-coding RNA (NBEN_LNC024995)
Source: RNAcentral